Non-coding RNA from Vigna umbellata (rice bean), 1300 nucleotides. NCBI's taxonomy places the organism in Eukaryota, Viridiplantae, Streptophyta, Magnoliopsida, Fabales, Fabaceae. The record is from RefSeq and is a predicted model, not a curated record.
AAUCUUGAGAAACAAUACAAGAGACAUUGAAAGAACUCUUACCCGUCAUGGUCAAGAAUAGGUGGUAGAAGGCUUGGCCAUAGAAUCUAUAAGAACACCUGAGGAUAUAAACCUAGCAAGUUUAGGAUAUUGUUGGGACCCAAGGACUGGAAGGAAGAACGUGUAUCUUCGUCCAUGGCAAGGGCAACUCUUCUAAGAGGAGUAAUUAUAGAUUUUACAUAGGCCCUAAGCGGGACAAGGUUGGAGAAUAUUGACCAUUGUGCCUGAAAGGGCUAUUUGAAGACAAGGCUCCUAGUUUCUGACCUAGGUGGUGUCAGUGGAGAGGAGGAAAAGUGAAAAACUAUUUGAUGUUGAUUCUAUAAGGCCCUAAUUCAUAUUGAGGGAAAGAUGGACGGAAACUGCGAAUAGGCUAAACCUAUUAAGUUUAAGAUGGAAAAAAAGUGAAAAAUCUAUCUUAACAUGUUGAAAGAUAUUUCUAUCCUGAAUUUGUAGAAUGUUAAGGAGUGUUGAUUGAUGUAGAAACCCUGAAGAUGACAAAAAUUCGUAGGAAAUUAUUCUGUUUCAUUGUCCCUUCUCAAGAUGAAAUUGACUCGAGAAAUUGAUUUUGAAUUUCAACAUAAAGUGACUAAAAGGAUUUAACCUUGGAAGGAGUUUGAAACUGUAAAUGGACCAGGAAUUGAAAGUAACGUAAGAAUCACCAAAACACCCCAGGAAUGAGGAGUAACUUCCUCCAUCACGUUUUCUUCCUACCAAGAUUCUAUCUCUUCUAAAAGGACCCUAACUCUGUUAGUUACUGUGGGUUAAGUGGUUUUCCUAAGCUUUAAUUAGUGCUGGGCAUUAUUCUGAUGUCUGUAAAGUAGUUUCUUUUAGGUCUAGGUUUUGUUCGUUUAAACCUAUUGUCAUCACCUCAUUAUUCUGAUUACCUGUACAGAAGUAAUUUCAUUUAGUCUUAGUUCUUUCUAAGCAUUAAUCAGUGCUGCUUUAUUCUAAUGCGACAUUGAAACUUAUGUUAGUUCGUUUAGUUAACCCUGUUUAAUAGUUUGUAACUUCUUUGCAGAUGGUUUGGACACGUGAUCAAUUAUUAGCAGAGUUGACUUAAGAUUAUUGUUUUUCUGCUGCCCUUCCUCCCUGUUUUCCGUAACUGAAGACAAAGCAGCAACGGAAGAGUGGAAAUGACCAUGUUUUUCUGUAGUAGAAUGAUUGACAUCCACGUAGAGUAAAUGAAGAAAGUGUUUCAAAAGCAAUAUGGAUUGUCAUUUAUAGGCAGAUCAUAUAUUCAGUUCAAGGAUGCUUGUUUUAA